Long non-coding RNA from Bos indicus x Bos taurus (hybrid cattle), 899 nucleotides. NCBI's taxonomy places the organism in Eukaryota, Metazoa, Chordata, Mammalia, Artiodactyla, Bovidae. The record is from Ensembl.
UUCUUUAUCAUUAACAUUAUCAUCAUGUUAAUCACCUAUAAUUAUUUCUUGAACAUAGAAAAUUUGUUUGUUUUUUGUUUGUUUGUUUUGCUUAUAUUGGGAGGAGGAUGUUAUCAGAUUAAACAGUGAUUUUCCCUUGAGAAGUUUUCAGGAUAAUUGGAGCAGACUAUUUUUACUUAAAACCAAAGAUAGAUUGGCUACAUAUAACCUGCUCAAGUAGUGAGCAUUUUAGGUGAGAAGAAAUGUACUUUUCCUUUUAGGUUUGAGAGUAAAGCUGAAUCCCUAUUUUCUUGCUAUUAUUGGCGUUACAAUGAAUCACCACAGUACUUAUGUGUUCCAAAGAGUUCUUAGUUGAUUUCUCACUGCAACUUCUAUUUUACAGAUGAGAAAACUGAAGUUCAUUAGCAUCUAGGCAAGUCCUGACGAAGGUCGUGCCACUGGUAAACAGUGGAAUCAGGAUUUGAAUUCAGGUCUGGACUCUUUGUAUUCUGUCUGUGUGUCGGUUACAACCUUACUGUGGAGACUCAGCCGUGAAAGCAGAAGGAGGUGGAAGGUUAGCGGAAGCUGGAGAGGAAAAAAGGUGAAGAUCUUUUGAAGUUUUCCUGCUCAGCCAGGAAAACAUGGCUGCAGUUAUCAGGACUGGCAUGUCCUUAUCUCCAAACUACUGAGCUUGGCUUGAGAGGGCAUGACAGCUGCUCCAAUUUUGGGCUUGAAGAAACUGGCAUGGCAGAGAGUAGAGAGACCUGGGGAUACCGGCUAGAAAGGAUAAGAAUGUCCAGGUGAGUUAAUAAUGGAUAUGCACUUCCUAUAAGCCUGCAGGCGCAGGGAGACUUGUCGGGUCUCUGCUAAGAUGAUGGUUUUGGAAAGUUAACUCUGUUACAUCCCCUGUCUCCCCUGGC